AGAUGCCAGCAGCAUGCCCACCUCAAUCAAGACAGUCAAAAAUGCCUCCAGACUUUACCAAAUGUCCCUUGGGGGGACAAAACCACCCCCGUUGAGAACUACUGUUUUAUAUUUAAAGUCAAGUGGCUGUUUAGCCAUUUGCUGCCUACAUGUCAGAUAAUCCUAAAAUGGAAUUGGGGGCUGAAUAAAACAGAGGGUACCAAGUUGAGUGAGCCCAUCAGCCUCUGUGUGGGACACUCAUCAGUGAGCUCCAGAAAUGGAAUUCUUCAAUAUCGUUGAUGAGUCAGCAGCCAGAAACUAGUCAUGAACCCACUGUCUCUGGAAAUGGUGAAUUUUUGGUGCAGUGAUGUUCACAGCUCCAUGACCCCUUAGGGCAUGGUUAUGAAUUGUGAUGUUCACUACUCUUUUGAGCCUCAGGGGGGAGUCCUUGUACAGACAAAUUCAAAAGGCUCAGUGGGAAUUUUAAAUUCUUAUCAGAUGCAACAUUUUCUAAAUGAGCUCUCCUUAUACCACAAAACUUCACGUUUUCAAAAUCAAUCUGACUUUGAGGAAUCCUCUAGAGAUUUACUGUUAACAUAAAUUUUUUUUUUCAGAUUUGUAACUCUGUCACCUCUGUUGAAUGAAUUCUGACUUAAUAUAACCAUAAAAGUGGGGGCCCACAGGGAAUGAUUGAAUAACCUGGCGUCUUGGAAUUCACACUAUUUAGCCUGCAAUGUCACAUAGCUUGACCUCUGAAUGAAACAGGUACUGAGUAAACAAGAUAUGGAUUGCAA
Molecule: long non-coding RNA, 773 nt
Filed under: Homo sapiens (human)
Lineage: Eukaryota; Metazoa; Chordata; Mammalia; Primates; Hominidae
Description: HSALNT0124724
Source: RNAcentral